GGCCGGUUGGCCCAAUGGCAAGGCGUCUGACUACGAUCCCGCAACACCUCCAUCUCUCCCCUCGGCCGUUCGAGCGGGAGGCGGUGCAUCGCGCAAGUUAUCAGGAGAUUCUGGGUUCGACCCCCAGGCUGGUCA
This 135-nucleotide transfer RNA is filed under the name Colletotrichum graminicola M1.001. Its description in RNAcentral is "tRNA-Arg for anticodon ACG". It matches the Rfam family "tRNA". From Rfam's summary of the family: Transfer RNA (tRNA) molecules are approximately 80 nucleotides in length. Their secondary structure includes four short double-helical elements and three loops (D, anti-codon, and T loops). Further hydrogen bonds mediate the characteristic L-shaped molecular structure. tRNAs have two regions of fundamental functional importance: the anti-codon, which is responsible for specific mRNA codon recognition, and the 3' end, to which the tRNAs corresponding amino acid is attached (by aminoacyl-tRNA synthetases). tRNAs cope with the degeneracy of the genetic code in two manners: having more than one tRNA (with a specific anti-codon) for a particular amino acid; and 'wobble' base-pairing, i.e. permitting non-standard base-pairing at the 3rd anti-codon position. The record is from Rfam by way of RNAcentral. Lineage: Eukaryota; Fungi; Ascomycota; Sordariomycetes; Glomerellales; Glomerellaceae.